Molecule: long non-coding RNA, 398 nt
Organism: Drosophila sechellia
Lineage: Eukaryota; Metazoa; Arthropoda; Insecta; Diptera; Drosophilidae
Exons: 2
Source: RefSeq, a predicted model, not a curated record
GCCGCUACUAUCGGUUCUGUCCAGGACUCUCUCAACUCCAACUUGACAAGUGUCUGAAUCACUGGGCGCUGCAGUCGGGAUGACAUAUGGAGGCAGGGAGACCCAGCGACACGCAGCCGACAAUCGAUUAAUCAGCGAAAAAUAAUAAGAAACACGUUCGUCGCUCCCCGCCGAAAAUCCUGACCCGCGGCCCCCCAGAGAUCCCGGGGAUGGAGAUGCAACUGCAGUCGGGAAUUGGAAUCGGAAUCCCUGAAUGCGGAACUGAUGUCGCUCGAGCACUCAAAAAAUGGGAAACUCCAACAUUUCGGGCAGACGAAUAAAUAAAAAGCAGCAGCAUCCAAGGCAGCGCUAUGACAAAAAUUUGUAGAUGAAUAAAACUUUGGGUCGAGUUGGCUCUA